RNAcentral lists this ribosomal RNA (253 nucleotides) under uncultured bacterium. Its description in RNAcentral is "partial 16S ribosomal RNA". It matches the Rfam family "Bacterial small subunit ribosomal RNA", at positions 524 to 776 of the family's 1533-position model. The record is from RNAcentral.
UACGUAGGGUGCAAGCGUUAAUCGGAAUUACUGGGCGUAAAGCGUGCGCAGGCGGUCUUGCAAGACAGAUGUGAAAUCCCCGGGCUUAACCUGGGAACUGCAUUUGUGACUGCGAGGCUGGAGUGCGGCAGAGGGGGAUGGAAUUCCGCGUGUAGCAGUGAAAUGCGUAGAUAUGCGGAGGAACACCGAUGGCGAAGGCAAUCCCCUGGGCCUGCACUGACGCUCAUGCACGAAAGCGUGGGGAGCAAACAGG